Molecule: long non-coding RNA, 3712 nt
Organism: Carassius auratus (goldfish)
Lineage: Eukaryota; Metazoa; Chordata; Actinopteri; Cypriniformes; Cyprinidae
Source: Ensembl
UUUUUUAUUUUUAAAUUUGUUAUUAUUAUUAAGAAUAAUAAAAUAUGAAAAGUAAAAAAAAAAAAAAAGUUUCUCUAGCCUCAGAGUGAUUACAAAUAAAACAAACAAAUAGGUGAUUGGUACUGGAGACAACCCAUGAGAAAGCUAUGUUGGGGAUGUCACAGGAAAUAUUUAGACAGUUCAUACUUAACAUCGCACAGGUUUUCAACUCCUACAGAUAUCAAAACAAGUGCAAUUUCGGGCCAUAGGUUCAGUCCUGUGUUUUCUGUAGUCAUUAUCUACUGCAAAACGACCCUACCAGACGCCUGAAAGGAAGACCAGGUUUUGCUGAAGUAGUCAGAUGAAGGCUAGAUUCUGUUGUGACCGUCAGACUUUAAAGAUGAGCAUCUGGCUGAUGAUGAUCUGGGUCACUCACACUGUGGGAACAGGGACGAAGCCCUUCAUUGUAACACAGUGGCCGACAGUGGCUGAGGUGAUGGCUGGAGAAGAUGUCAUUUUAAACUGCAACAUUGUAGAGCUGUACUCCUCGUGUUCAACAGUGGCUUGGCUGAAAGUCAUUCCCGAGAACGCAACGAUCAGCCUGACCGACAGACUUCAGAUCCAUCCUCAUUACUCGUCCAACCAGUGGACCAGUAUUUGUACUGCUGUCAUCACCAAUACAACAGUGCAUGACUCCAGUAUGUACUACUGCGCAGCUGUGCACAGCCGCUUUGCUCACAUCGGUAAUGGAUCCAGAGUCAUUGUGAAAGAACACACUGUGUUUCCUGUUAUUGAUAUUCUUACUCCGCUGAUCACAAACGGUCCUUCGGUCCCUCUUCAGUGUGUUGUGAAGGGGGUCGAGGCUUCUCAAGUUCAUGUGUUCUGGACUGUGGAGGGGAAAAAGGAGAAAGGACAGCCAGUUUUGACACAUGGGAACGAUGGUGUCAUCCAGAUCACUAGGAGCCAGAUCCUGAUGACUGCUGAGGAGUGGGAAAGGAAGGUGCAGUGUGUGUGUGUAGUGCAGUUUGGAGGACAGCUCUAUAACAAGACCCUUCAGCCACAUGAUGCACCAGAUGUGUGUUAUGCAGCAAAAUACAUAUAUUUGUCUGUCUGCUUAAUAUUUGCUCUCCUGCUUCUGGCAACAGUGGUUAUUUAUAGGCUGGGACGGAAAACCUUUUUGAUGAUGUCUCUAUGAAAACACAUAUAGUUUCAAAGAGCUUUCAGUUUAUGUCCAGUAUUUUGCUCUAACCCAUUUUUAUUUAUCAAACUUAUUUUGGUAUUUGGCAUUGCUGUACAUCAGAUGAAAGAAGGCAACAUUUACAAAUAUUUUGACAUCUCUUCCCAAAAAGCAUAAGUAAUUCUGAUAUUUAUGUUCAGAUCGUUAUGGAUCUUUGAUGUUUUGAAUAGUGUUGUUUAUAUUGUGAAUUGAAAUGGUCAAUUUAUACUUUCAUCCAAUAUGUUCUGAACUCUGUUUAUUCCAAUAGACUGAAUAAAAACACCUGAAUAAAAGAAACAUAUCGUUUGACUAACUUUUUCUUUAAUUUACACGAAUCUAAAACCAGAGAAAAUAAAAUAACUACAUAUAUAAACAUAUUAUUUUCAUAUAUUAUGUUAUUUGUGAUUACCUAUAGCCUAUAAAAGUGUCAGUUUGAUAAUUGUAAAGUACAACAACAACAAUUAUUAGAUAUUAUGCCUUAUGUGGCUUCUGUUAUGUGUGGCAGGGUCAGGAAGUGAUUUUUUUUUUUUUUUUCAUUUUCUCAGUAUUGUUGUAUCUCUGUGUCCUCUUUAUUGUGUGGUUUCAUGUAUCAUACACGCAAAAUGGUGAUGUGGACUUCACCUCACAUUGGUUAAUGUCCUCUCUUUACUUUGUCAGCGGAAAAAACUUCAGUCUCAAAUGUACCACAGUGGAACCUCAAAGAUGCAUAAUUCCGACCCAAAAAUUCUUUGGUGGAAGAAAAAAAAUUGCUGAUUUUGUUCAAUUGAAAUAGGACACAACCAUAUGCCACAUCACUUCAGUCUUAGAUCAUGUUCAUUAGUUUAGUUAGUAAUGUUUUAUGUUAAAUAUAAGACAGUUUUUGUUGUAAUGCAUCAAGAGUGCAACAAAGAUGAUGUGAUUUUGCCGCUUUACUCAUCCCACACAGAAUUUAUGCAGUUCUCAUUUUAAAUUCUUUCAAGUUUCAAUACACCUUGAAAAACCAUAGAGUCAUACUAAUUAAAUUUCUUAUUUAAGCAAUAUCACAUGAGCAAGAGUGCUGUCCUUCCAGCUGUAUGCACAAGAACACCGAUUCACAGUGGUGCUGUUAUUCAGAUCAACAUACAGAGUUGUUCACUAGAAUAUAAGUUAAUAUUGAGUAAUGCACAUUUUGUAAUAAUGCCAGUUCCUUUGUUUUUUCUCCACUAACAAAACAAAAAAGCCAGAGCUUAAUCAGCAGUUGUGUGAGCAACCCACAGUAAAGUGUCUCAGUCAUAAAUUAAUCUGUUUUGAACUAAUAAGAUGAGUGAAUGAUUCAAUGACACGUAAUGUCUUUCACUUGUUCCUUUCAUGAAUGAAUCAGUGUUUAAAUGAAAGGAAAUUAAUUGGUUGAAUGGAUCAUUCAGUGACUCGCUGUUAGGACAGCCAUGAGUCACCAUUUACUAGCGAAAACAAUAAUCUUUAGAAAAUUUCACAGAAAAAUCCAAGAGGGUCUGGCUGCAGACGUGCACUUGCACUUGUCAGACUUGCAUUCUCCAACUUGCACUCUCAGACACUUGCACUUCCUCUAGUAACAUCACUUGCAGUCUUUAUUUUUUAUUAAGUUGAAUUUUUUAUAACUUUUUGUUUGAAUUUCCCAACACUUUAUAACAGUAGCCAGGUGGUGAAGACAAGAAAAAAUAAUCGAAAUUACAAUAUCACUUGCAAUCGCUGCUUGCACUUUUUGCAAUCGACACAAUAUACACAUUGUCGUAUUGACACAUAUAGUAUUUUCCUCACAUACCGAAAAAUGUGGCAUAAUGGAUAAUAAAGGUCAAACUCAAUAUGCUUCUCUACAUUAUUAAAAUACAUAACUAAUAUGUACAGGCAAGCAGGUGAGCCCAGACUAAAUGCAACACGUAAAGUUUCGGGUUGAGCAUUUUUCCAUAUAGAAUAAACUGUCUACAACUCCGUCUUUGUCCAUUAUGAUACAUUAUGUGUUUUAUUUAUGAUGAUUUUCUAUAGGAGGAAAAAGUUUAAUGUACAAUUCUGUACUCGUCUGCUUGCCUGUAUGGAGUUGAUCCUUUUAAAAUCACUUAAUGCAUUUCAUAAUGCUAUUAGGCCAAGGGUGACCCCCCAGAGUUGGGUCAGGUCAAAGUUUACACUCCAGAGUCGGGUCGGGUCAGGUCAGGCACGUGCACAGGUAGGGCUCAACCUGUGCAGAGCACAUGCCCUUUUUGCCCUUACACUCCGAAGUGCCCUUUUUUUGGUGUAGUUUUUUUUUUUUUAUCAAUGCUAUUGGUCACCCUUUACGUCUGUCUGUCUGUUUUACAAAUAUUUAGCAAAUGAAAGUGCUUAAAACGAGCUGUGUAAAUCUUAUUCGAUCCUCAAGCUGUCAGUAAGCUGAUAACUCCGCCCCCUUUAUAUUCAUUGAAUCAACAGAUUCAAUACGCAGUACAGUAGAUAACAGCGGAGCUGAACAAAGUUUUGCGAAGGGUAAAUAAAUAUCUUGUUGUUUGAAUAAGUACUACUAAACACUGUCUAUAAAGGCUCAUAUUUUAU